AAACUCAAAUGAAUUGACGGGGGCCCGCACAAGCGGUGGAGCAUGUGGUUUAAUUCGAUGCAACGCGAAGAACCUUACCUGGUCUUGACAUCCACAGAACUUUCCAGAGAUGGAUUGGUGCCUUCGGGAACUGUGAGACAGGUGCUGCAUGGCUGUCGUCAGCUCGUGUUGUGAAAUGUUGGGUUAAGUCCCGCAACGAGCGCAACCCUUAUCCUUUGUUGCCAGCGGUUCGGCCGGGAACUCAAAGGAGACUGCCAGUGAUAAACUGGAGGAAGGUGGGGAUGACGUCAAGUCAUCAUGGCCCUUACGACCAGGGCUACACACGUGCUACAAUGGCAUAUACAAAGAGAAGCGACCUCGCGAGAGCAAGCGGACCUCAUAAAGUAUGUCGUAGUCCGGAUUGGAGUCUGCAACUCGACUCCAUGAAGUCGGAAUCGCUAGUAAUCGUAGAUCAGAAUGCUACGGUGAAUACGUUCCCGGGCCUUGUACACACCGCCCGU
This 500-nucleotide ribosomal RNA is filed under the name Klebsiella pneumoniae. RNAcentral's name for it is "bacterial SSU rRNA". It matches the Rfam family "Bacterial small subunit ribosomal RNA", at positions 897 to 1397 of the family's 1533-position model. The record is from RNAcentral. Lineage: Bacteria; Pseudomonadati; Pseudomonadota; Gammaproteobacteria; Enterobacterales; Enterobacteriaceae.